RNAcentral lists this unclassified non-coding RNA (289 nucleotides) under Glomus sp. RNAcentral's name for it is "partial contains 5.8S ribosomal RNA and internal transcribed spacer 2". The stretch from base 1 to 65 matches the Rfam family "5.8S ribosomal RNA", at positions 84 to 154 of the family's 154-position model. The record is from RNAcentral. Lineage: Eukaryota; Fungi; Glomeromycota; Glomeromycetes; Glomerales; Glomeraceae.
GUGAAUCAUCAAAUUUUUGAACGCAAAUUGCACUCUCCUCGGAGAGUAUGCCUGUUUGAGUUCCAGCCUAUAAAAAUCGACAUCGUUUCUGUUUCGCGUUGGCGUUCGGUGGAAAUUGGGUUAUCUUAAAUCCUUUUGAUUUAAGCGACUUAAAAUUUUCUUUGUGUUCCAUGAACGUUUCUAAGAUCUAUGUCUUUAUACGUUUAAGGUAUCGAUUUUUACUAUACGUAACUUUCAUAUCGGAUCGCGUCCAUAAACUUUCAGUAAUUGACCUUAGACAUGUAAGAGU